Molecule: ribosomal RNA, 497 nt
Filed under: uncultured bacterium
Lineage: Bacteria
Description: partial 16S ribosomal RNA
Rfam family: Bacterial small subunit ribosomal RNA
Source: RNAcentral
GAUGAACGCUGGCAGCGUGCCUAAUACAUGCAAGUCGAGCGAACAGACGAGGAGCUUGCUCCUCUGACGUUAGCGGCGGACGGGUGAGUAACACGUGGAUAACCUACCUAUAAGACUGGGAUAACUUCGGGAAACCGGAGCUAAUACCGGAUAAUAUAUUGAACCGCAUGGUUCAAUAGAGAAAGACGGUUUUGCUGUCACUUAUAGAUGGAUCCGCGCCGCAUUAGCUAGUUGGUAAGGUAACGGCUUACCAAGGCAACGAUGCGUAGCCGACCUGAGAGGGUGAUCGGCCACACUGGAACUGAGACACGGUCCAGACUCCUACGGGAGGCAGCAGUAGGGAAUCUUCCGCAAAGGGCGAAAGCCUGACGGAGCAACGCCGCGUGAGUGAUGAAGGUCUUCGGAUCGUAAAACUCUGUUAUUAGGGAAGAACAAAUGUGUAAGUAACUAUGCACGUCUUGACGGUACCUAAUCAGAAAGCCACGGCUAACUACGUG